Molecule: long non-coding RNA, 683 nt
Organism: Galleria mellonella (greater wax moth)
Lineage: Eukaryota; Metazoa; Arthropoda; Insecta; Lepidoptera; Pyralidae
Exons: 2
Source: RefSeq, a predicted model, not a curated record
GCCUUGCAGUUUGCAAGUUAUUCUAAAGUUCAAAUGAAAUACACUAAUCGUUCACUAUAUCGAUUAUCGAUUGAUCGAUAAAUAAAAUCUAUAAGGAGUCGUAGCCACUGCACUAGUGCUAUUUAUAAAGUCCGCAUUACGUUCGAAUGAAACAUAACAGAGUAAUCAAAGCAAACCAGUUGAGAAAUAGCUGCGCACGCGUCAGAUGCGCACACGAGGACAAACGAACCAAAUAAAUAACAGAAGACACUGCAACAAUACUGCUAUACUUUAAACUAAUUUAAGUAAAGUCAGCCGAGUCGAGUCAGCCAAAUUAAGUCAGCCAAACAGAGUCAGCCGAGGAGAGUUAACUAAAUAGCGACACCGAAAUGUCAUCCAACGAGCCCGCACCAGUUGUUGAGGAAGUGGUCCAGGUUAAAAAGGUUGGGGAGGCGCAGACUGUAUUCUGUCAGUCGAGAUGUCCAACAGGCAUGAUUAACGUUGGCGGUGCGUGUCUAGAAACGGUGCCUGAUGACGAAUUCGACUUUGUCGAAUGCGACAAGACAGAGGACGCCCAGUAAACAAUAACGAUUUGUAUGCCUUUUAUAUAUUCCAUACAUAUUAUUGCAUUUAGACAUGUAAUGAGUAAAUGUUUUAUGAGAUUAAUUAAUGACAAUAUGAAAUAUAUAACAAUAUGUAAAAGC